CCAGACUCCUACGGGAGGCAGCAGUGAGGAAUAUUGGUCAAUGGGCGAGAGCCUGAACCAGCCAAGUCGCGUGAGGGAAGACGGUCCUACGGAUUGUAAACCUCUUUUGUCAGGGAGCAAGGAGCGCCACGAGUGGUGCGGCGAGAGUACCUGAAGAAAAAGCAUCGGCUAACUCCGUGCCAGCAGCCGCGGUAAUACGUAGGUGGCAAGCGUUGUCCGGAUUUACUGGGUGUAAAGGGCGUGUAGCCGGGCUGACAAGUCAGAUGUGAAAUCCGGGGGCUCAACCCCUGAACUGCAUUUGAAACUGUCGUUCUUGAGUACUGGAGAGGUUGACGGAAUUCCUAGUGUAGCGGUGAAAUGCGUAGAUAUUAGGAGGAACACCAGUGGCGAAGGCGGUCAACUGGACAGCAACUGACGCUGAGGCGCGAAAGCGUGGGGAGCAAACAGGAUUAGAUACCCUUGUA
Molecule: ribosomal RNA, 464 nt
Filed under: uncultured bacterium
Lineage: Bacteria
Description: bacterial SSU rRNA
Rfam family: Bacterial small subunit ribosomal RNA
Source: RNAcentral